ACUAGCUCAUUGGUAGAGCACUCGGCUGUUAACCGAUUGGUAGUAGGUUCAAAUCCUACGUAUAA
This 65-nucleotide transfer RNA is filed under the name [Phormidium] sp. LEGE 05292. RNAcentral describes it as "tRNA-Asn". It matches the Rfam family "tRNA", at positions 6 to 65 of the family's 71-position model. From Rfam's summary of the family: Transfer RNA (tRNA) molecules are approximately 80 nucleotides in length. Their secondary structure includes four short double-helical elements and three loops (D, anti-codon, and T loops). Further hydrogen bonds mediate the characteristic L-shaped molecular structure. tRNAs have two regions of fundamental functional importance: the anti-codon, which is responsible for specific mRNA codon recognition, and the 3' end, to which the tRNAs corresponding amino acid is attached (by aminoacyl-tRNA synthetases). tRNAs cope with the degeneracy of the genetic code in two manners: having more than one tRNA (with a specific anti-codon) for a particular amino acid; and 'wobble' base-pairing, i.e. permitting non-standard base-pairing at the 3rd anti-codon position. The record is from RNAcentral. Lineage: Bacteria; Bacillati; Cyanobacteriota; Cyanophyceae; Aerosakkonematales; Aerosakkonemataceae. RNAcentral also lists the same sequence under 1 other name.